AUUUGGAAAAAAAAAAAGUAGAAAUGUUAGUUGAGCAUGUCUUCGCAAUAAACAUUUGAGCGGAAAGUUUAUUUUCCAAAAUACACAAAAACAGAAUAUGAACGAAAUAACUAAAUGAUUUGAUCUGUAGACUUGCCAAGAAAUUCUAAAAUAAAAAAGCAAUGAAGAAAUUGUUCUCAUAACAUUUUGCAACAUUUUGGUCCAAAUAAAAACAUUAUUGAGAGAAUAAACGAGAGGGAGAACUGUUUUGUUUUUUUUUAAAUCAAAAUAUUUCUCAAGUAUUUCUCAUGUUUUAUCAAUAAUCAUACAAGAAAUCAUAUUAAGGAAAACAUUUCAACGCAUUUUUUACUGUGCAAUCAAGUCACGAAACUAAAUGGAAGCAAGAGUUGUUUAAUUGACAAGAAUAUAUACAACAAACACGCAAAGACUUUGAAGUAACGCGAGGACUCUAGGAGUACUAUUUUUUUGUUCAAAUCCAUUUUUUUUUUCUUUUUCAGAACUGUCAAAAAUGUUUUGAGACUCUCAACAUGGUCCGUUUUAGGCCUCUAUAGUUGACAAUGGGUGCUCUAUAGAUUCCUCAUAGUUCGUUGUAGGCCUCUAUAGUUGAUACUCUCAACAUGGUCUGUUGAAGGCCUCUAGAGUUGACAGUGGAUGCUCUAUAGAGUCCGUUUUAGGCCUCUAUAGUUGACAAUGGGGGCUUUAUAGAUUCCUCAUAGUUUGUUGUAGGCCUCUAUAGUUGAUAGUGGAUUUUCUAUAUAGUCCGUUGUAGGCCUCU
This is a non-coding RNA of Biomphalaria pfeifferi, 775 nucleotides long. The record is from the annotation of a GenBank genome assembly. NCBI's taxonomy places the organism in Eukaryota, Metazoa, Mollusca, Gastropoda, Planorbidae.